Long non-coding RNA from Nerophis lumbriciformis (worm pipefish), 885 nucleotides. RefSeq lists it as uncharacterized. The record is from RefSeq and is a predicted model, not a curated record. Lineage: Eukaryota; Metazoa; Chordata; Actinopteri; Syngnathiformes; Syngnathidae.
GCAGGUCACUGAUGGUCUCCUGGUAGGUGAGGAUGAUGGUCUGGUACUGUGUGAUGAUCUGCCUCCGGAGGUUCUCCCAGCAUGGCGACAGCUCGCCAAGUUCUUCCAGCUCGCACACCCUAACGUUUCAUAAAUUCACCGGAAAUGUCACAGUGGACUUACUGAGUUUGUUUAGCUGAUUGGAGAGCUAGCUCCCACAGCUAGUGGGUCCAUGAUGAUGACUUCGGUUUUGUGUGACACGCAUCGUUUGGGAACAAUUCAGCAGCUUGACAAACUGUCGAGGGAUGUGCAGCGAGAGAACACUCUCCGCCAUCUGCUCCAGGACCCGAAGAUGGUUGCCGUCCGUGGUGGGGAAACGAAUCAACUGGAAGUGACUUCAACCGGACCCCGAGUCUCCUUGUGAUACUUGUGUGCCUCGAUCUCAACUGUCACGCAUGAGUCACUAAAAGGAGGAAAACAGGUAUUAGUCCGCUAUCGCCAUGGGAACAGAUGACACAGCCAAGAAGGCAGAUGACGCUGACGUCAUCCCCUCUCACAUCUGGCUGCAUUUACACUGGUGCAAUUAGCGUCUCUGUCAACGCGCUAAUGCAGACGGUGAGAAACGUCUAAAUAUACACCUGCUAGCUGCUAGCUUCUCCUGCUUCCACACACACUUUUAAUUACCGGUAGUCUUGUACAGGAAGUAUUGCAAUAGCUUUUUACUGGGAUGGAACCCUAGAAAGUACUCAGUGCUUAAUACUAGCAUUUCUUGGCCAAAAGUAUUUAGACAAACCAUAAUUUUGUAAUUAAGAAAAGUGUCCAAAUACUUACCAAAAAUGUUUACACUUAUUGUGCAUUAUAAUGAUUGUACACAUCUUAAAAACAUCAUGGAGGCAUCAGGAAGGU